This 74-nucleotide small nuclear RNA is filed under the name Heterocephalus glaber (naked mole-rat). Its description in RNAcentral is "U4 spliceosomal RNA". It matches the Rfam family "U4 spliceosomal RNA", at positions 1 to 75 of the family's 138-position model. From Rfam's summary of the family: U4 small nuclear RNA (U4 snRNA) is a component of the major U2-dependent spliceosome. The record is from Rfam by way of RNAcentral. Lineage: Eukaryota; Metazoa; Chordata; Mammalia; Rodentia; Bathyergidae.
AGCUUUGUACAGUAGGAGUAUCAUAGCCAGUGAGGUUUAUCUGAGGAAUGAUUAUUGCUAAUUGAAAUUACUCA